GCUAAACGCGAAGAACCUUACCUGGGUUUGAAAUGUUGGUGACAGGUGUGGAAACACAUCCUUCCUUCGGGACACCAUCACAGGUGGUGCAUGGCUGUCGUCAGCUCGUGUCGUGAGAUGUUGGGUUAAGUCCCGCAACGAGCGCAACCCUCGCCUUUAGUUGCCAUCAUUAAGUUGGGAACUCUAAGGAGACCGCCGGUGACAAACCGGAGGAAGGUGGGGAUGACGUCAAGUCAUCAUGGCCUUUAUGGCCAGGGCUACACACGUGCUACAAUGGCAGGUACAGAGGGAAGCCAACCAGCAAUGGGGAGCCAAUCCCAGAAAGCCUAUCUUAGUCCGGAUUGCAGUCUGCAACUCGACUGCAUGAAGUUGGAAUCGCUAGUAAUCGCAGAUCAGCAUUGCUGCGGUGAAUACGUUCCCGGGUCUUGUACACACCG
This 437-nucleotide ribosomal RNA is filed under the name uncultured bacterium. Its description in RNAcentral is "bacterial SSU rRNA". It matches the Rfam family "Bacterial small subunit ribosomal RNA", at positions 954 to 1392 of the family's 1533-position model. The record is from RNAcentral.